RNAcentral lists this long non-coding RNA (6357 nucleotides) under Gossypium barbadense (sea-island cotton). RNAcentral's name for it is "long non-coding RNA (GBAR_LNC020442)". The record is from RNAcentral. Lineage: Eukaryota; Viridiplantae; Streptophyta; Magnoliopsida; Malvales; Malvaceae.
AAAGCCUCAUCAAUUGAAGUUCCACAAAAAAAGAAUGGUCCAAACUCAUGCAAAAUCAAGGUUGCAAUAACAUGAAAGCCACUACUAAAAGUAAUUAAUGGUAUCUAUGGAAACUUCAAAUAACAGCCUUUUAGCUACCAACUACCUAGCCAGCAAUUCAUAAUUUCAAACACAUGUAUAGUUUGUAUAUAUAUAAAGCAUAGGAGGAAGCCUGGAAAUUACUGUCUAUCUUGAUUAGGGUAAACUUGGAACAAAAGUCAGAAUGCUAUUUAUUCUUACCAUUCAAAGCAUGUUUGGGACACUAUUUCACUGUAAUUGUUUGCUUUCUAACCCGUGCAGGCAGUACAAUGCCUUCACCCAUCGUCUACUAUUGGGCUUUUGCCUGCCCCACUUGAACUGAUUAGAAGAACAGCCAUAGUUCUGCAUGCUAGGGUUAAAUUUAAGCCCAUUAAGAAUUGCCAUAUCAGGAGGCCUCAAGGAUAAGAAAUAUGUACACCUGUGCAGGACAAUUAAGCACUUUAGUUGAUUUUGUAUCUUUGAUCAUUGUUCCAAGAUGAUUAUUCUUACACCGCCAUUGUAAUUAAAAAAACUCCAUCACGUGUAGAAUUACCACUACAAGUUGGUUUUGUACAUUUGAUCAUUAUUGCCAUUCACAGUGGACAAAUAAUACUAUGGUAAAAAACUUUUUCAAUCCCUUUCAAUUUCAAAAUUCAACAAAUUGAUCUCUUUCAAAAAAUUAAAAGUAAUUUAACCUAGAGAUGAUCAUGGGCCGGGCUAGGCCUAAAAAAUUUCGGCCCUCAUCCUAGGCUCGGACCCGGCCUAGCUCGAAAUAUGAGCCUAAAAUUUUGUCUAUGCCCGGCCCAGGAAAAAAAUCUUAAGCCCAAGUCUGGCCCGGCCGGGCCCAUUUUUUUAAUAAACACCAAAAAUUUAUUUUAAAAAUAAAAAAAGUAUUUUAAAAAUAUUUUAAAAUUAAAAAAAAUAAAAAUAUAUAUUAUAUAUUCGGGCCAGGCCGGGCCGAGCCCAGGACUAAAAAAGUGAUGCCCGAGGCCCGGCCGUUAUCUAAACGGACCUCUUUUUUUGCCUAAACCCAUAUUUCGGGCCUAUAAUUUUACCCGAAUCCUCCCAUAUUUCAAGCAGGCCGUCGGGCCGGCCAGGCCACCCGGCCCAUGAUCACCUCUAAUUUAACCUCUGUCAAUGUCAAUUUUAAAAGUGAACAACUAAGAACAAUUAAUCAUAAUGAUAAUAUUAAUGUUUUUCAUCAAUUGUACAUUAUUUUAAUUGGUAUAAUAAUAAAUUUACUCUUCAAAGUUCACACAUUCUAUUAAUUAGGUCCUAAUUUAACAAAUUAAUCCACAAAAUUUGUGUAAAUGUUGAGACUAAAUUUGUUAAAAAUUUUUAGAAUUAAGGCCAAAAUAACAAAAUAUGUAAACAUUAAAGGCUAAAUAAUACCAAUCAAAAUCAUGUAAAAUUGACAAAUGACAUUAACUCUAUGAUUAAUUGUCCUCAGUUGCUCACUUUCGAAGUUAACAGAGAUUAACUUGAUCCAAUUUUUUCGAAAGGGGCUAAUUUGCUGAAUUUCGAAAUUGAAAACGACUUUUACCUAUUUAUUGUAAAAAGAAAGCCUAAUCUUAUGUUUGAUACUUACUAAACUUCCACAUCUUACUUUAAAAACUGAAAACCAACUUUUAUCGUGUAAGGGAUGUAGCUUAAAGUAAAGCCUAAAGAGAAGAUGAAGAUCUUUGAAAAGCAUUGGAUAUACCUUCAAGAGCAGAGCAUCAUCCGACCAAGCUAACCUUCGCUCACAGGGUAGAGAAUGGCAAAACAACUAAGCUAUCUUUGAAUAAGUAGCUCGCUCUAAAUGAGCUAGUCAUGGAGACUCAAUUAACCUAGCUUAAAAGAAUAUCAUAUAUAAACCUUUAGACUUGCACAUUUCUUAGCAAUGUAGAAUUACUCAACAUUGCAAACUACUAACGACAAAGUCAGUUCUCAAAAGCAGCCAAAGUUGGUUUAAGGUUUCCAAAUGUAUGACAUGAGCAUUAUGGCAAAAGGUGCAAACAAGAGAAUGGAAAAGGGAUGCCAGUAAAGAAAUCUAGACAGCAACCUUGUCCAAGGUUAAAGGUUCAUUUGUGGAUUUGAAUGUGUUUCUGAUAAGCAACAACCUACAAAAACCCUUCAAAACUAACCUUAGCUCUACCAAACAACUUUCAACAGACGAUAAAAACUUCCCUAAGUGCAUAAAAGAGAUCAUGCCUAAAAUCUUACCAUGCUCCAUUAAUAUUUGACUCUUUUCCCAACCAAAGGAUCUUAUCUAUGAACAACCAAAGUUAUCAUUUGAGUCACCAAAGCAUGUGUUCACACCUUUUUUUUUUUUUUUUAAAAAGGUUAUUGCCAUUUUCUGAUUUUGCAGUUUUAGGAAAUCAAAUUCCACCAGCAUAUAUCCAGUUAAACUGGAUAGACAGAUCGAAAAUUUCACGAACAUGCAGAUUCGGAUUGCAACAAAUGUUUCAAAUGUCAAAUCUAAAGAAAAUAAGAUUUAAUAUAAUCAUAAACUAUUUUAAACCUUUCGAUGCAAAACUCUUCUAAAAUCUGACCUCCAAAAUAAUAAUGAUCAUAAUCGGCUAAGCAACUUCCAUAACGGAUCUGGCCUGCUGCCUGUAAGCUCAAUUUAAGAUCAAGAGAAAUCACUUAUAGAGAAUAUGAGCAUUUAUUGAUAGACUACAAGAGGAACAAAAAGACUGCCAUCGAGUUAUCAAAGUUUGGCGACUCAGCUUUUCCUCGGUAUCCGUUUCUGACUCGUAGAUCCUCGAGCAGGACUCACUCACGAUUGGACGGCGAAAGAUAAUCUUCAAUCUUGCCCAGGCAGGGAGAGAAGUUGGCUGGAAAUGAUGUGAUUGGUAUAGAGGGGAAUUUUGAGUUUUUCGCGCGUGGGAUUGAGCUGGCUAAGGAGAGGCACGGUUACAGAGACGGAGACAAGGUUGGUCGUAGCGCGUGUCUUUACGUCGAAGUAACUGUUUUUAAACUUGUUAAAUUCUGGCUUUAAUCCUUCUUCUAUACUUUAAUUUUUGUAUUUAAUUCCUAUAAUUUACUUUUAGGUCUAAAUAGUUAUAUUGAUGUGAUUUUUUAGUAAAAAUAUCGCGGAGAUUUUUGUAUUGGUAGUUGAAUUGCAUUUUACCCUCUCUAUUAAAAAAAAUGUAGAUUAAUUCUUAUAUGUUAGAUCAAAUAUGUAACACCCCUUACCCGAGACCGUUGCCGGAAUCGAGUACGAGGCAUUACUUAGCUUAUCUUACUAAUUCGGGGCAUAAAAAUUCGUUUUAAAAAUUAAUUUCACUGUUUACAGUAAUCUGUCCAAUCGCGCAGCAGUUACUAAAUUGAUUAUAACUCGAGUUACGGAACUCCAAAUUUAAUUUCGUAAAUUUUCCCUGAAACUAGACUCAUAUAUAUACUCACCAUAAAAUUUUUAGAAUUUUUGGUUCAGCAAAUUAGUACAGUUUAUUAGUUAAAUUCUCCCCUGUGUCACCCCAGACUGCCCUGACCUCUAGUCACUAAAAAUAAGUUUUCUCACUAUAGGAUUUUCAUAUGAAGUUCUUACUUGUUUCUAUAGAAAAUAGACUCAUUAAGGAAUCUAAGCAUGUAAAUUUCAACUCAUAACCAUUUUUGUACAAUUUGUAAUUAUUUUCUAAACUCAGAACAGGGGACUCCAAAAACAAUUCUGACCCUAUCUUACUAAAAUUCACAUAUCUUAAAAUAUAAAUUUCUUUUCUCUACACCGUUAUUUUUCCAUGAAAAUAGACUCAACAAGCUUUAAUUCCAUAUAUCAUUCACCCUCUAAUUCAUUUUAUACUAUCUUGGGUGAUUUUUCAAAUUCAAGUCACUAUUGCUGCCUGAAUUCUGUUUCUUUGCAAAAUUUUACCAUUUUAUGACUUUCAUACCUAAUUUAUCACUUAGACUUUUAUAACAAUAAUUAACUUCAUCCUUGACCAUUUAAACAACCAUUCAUCAUCAAAUACUUACACAUCAUUCUAUAGUAAAAUCAUAUUUACAAAUAUACAAAAUUACUAAAUUCCUAUACAUGCCAUAACUAAAAGAAAUGUUCACCACCACAAUUAGCUCAGAAUCGGCUUUGGAUGCUGAUUCAACAAUCCGACUUUGACCUAACCUGCGCACGGAAACAACCGUACGCUGAGUAUGGAAAUACUCAGUGGUAUUACCAUAAUUCGAAUUAAUAACAUUAAUCGAUAAAUUAUAUACAUUUUAUUUAUGUCUACAAUUAUUCAUUAAUUAUCUCAUGCAUUAAAUCAACUUGAUAAUUAAUAACAAUAAGCUAUAAUUCAAAUCUUGUAUUUAAUUGUAUUCAUACCUUAUUUCACUAUCUCAAUUCCAUUGGAUUUUUCUUUACAUCUCAUUCCAAUAGUUCAUUUCAAUUCAUAUACAAUUCAUUUCAUUUAAUUUAUAUUCAAUAUAAAUUUUAUUGCAAUUUGUACUCACUAAUAUCAUAUAACAAAAUUUACUCUUUAUCACAUCAUGAACUUUGGGCUCAUAUCUUUAAAUCUCUUAUUUCGAUUUCCAAUUCACACAUCAAUUCACAACUUCACUUUUUCGUUUCUUCCCAUAGCUCAAUCAAUCACAUUUAUUCAAUUUUCUCAUUUCAAUUAUUUACCCCUAUUAACAAGACUCGGACCUUGGCGGAUACACGGAUCCAAUCAAACACACCAAAAUGGCACCCAGUGCCUCAUCGGAUAGUUCGAAGCAAUAGUUGACACCCAGUGUCUCAUCGGCCCAGCCGAAGUAAAGUUGGUACCCAGUACCUCAUCGAAUCUAUCCGAAGAAAUAUAGUGACACCCAGUGUCUCAUCGACUCAAGGUCGAAGUAUCCCUGAACUCUUCCAAUCCUAUGGCAUGCCAACUAUAUCCGACUCAGCCCGACUAGUUAAUAGGGUUUCCGAAUCACAUUUCAAUUCAAUCACUUUCUCAUACUUUCAAUUCAAAUCAUUCCCAUUUAAUCACCAUUUGUUUCAAUACAUUUUUCUAUUUCAAAUUCACUUUCGAUUUAAUCGCAAUUCAACUCAGAUUCACUUCCCACUUUCAAAUCAAUAUACAAUUCAAUACCAAUACAUAUUUCAGAUAUUCACAUAUAAUCAUACUUCGAUUCAAUUCAAACCACUUUUCAAUCAAUACACAAUUCACAUAUUCACAUAUCUCAAUUUAAUAUCUCAUUUAUUCAAUUCAUAUUUUAAUUCAUUCAAUUAAAUAUUGAUAUUCUCCUUAUUUUUAUUUACUAACAUAUUAUUCAAAAUUCAAUAAUUACUGUCAAUAAAUUCAAUAUCAAUACGUAUAUAUAUUAUUCAAUUCAAUUAUGAAACUCACCUCAAUUUGCUUAUCGUGUAUAUUAAUUUAAUUUUCAACGAUUAAUAAUUAAAUUCGAAUUAUAGUAAUACUAACCGUAAUUUCUCUCGAGUCACUCCUUGUCCACUUUCUCCUUUCCUUUCUCGGACAAUGACUCGUACACGACAUUAGCUACGUAAUUAAACAAUUAAAAAUCAUUAAUACACAAUUUCAUUAAAAUAUUUCCUUUUAUACCUAAACUUUACCCAAAUUCUAAUUUAAUCCCUUACCAAUACUAAUUUUAUUUUUCCCAAUCUAACUCUAUAUUCUCUCUUAAUUCUUACUAAACUCAUAUUUAACUAUUUAAUUUUUAUCAUGUUUUCAUAAUUCCGAAUUUAUUUCAAAUUAAUCCCUAAAAUUCAAAACUUAUAGUUUAGUUUACAAUUCAAUUCCAAUCAAAAUUUCUAUCAAAUACAUCCCUAAUUUAACAAUUUAUUCAACAUGAACCAUGCUUAAUAAUCUACUAACUUUCAAAAUUUCAACUUAAAUCAAGUAGUAUUUUAUUCUAGGAUUUCAAAAAAAAUAUCAAAAUUAAGAGAAAAGGGGAUUAAAUUGACUUACCAAAUUACUUUGAACCUUAAAACCCCAAAUUUCCCUUUUUCUUUUCUUUUCUUUCUUUCUUUCCUUCCUUCCUUCUCUGUUUCGUUUUGCUCUCUGUUUCUUUCUUUCUCCCUUCUCUGUUUUGUUUUGCUCUCUGUUUCUUUUCUUUCUUUCUUUGUCAUAUAUAUAUAUAUAAUAUAAUAUAAUAUAAUAUAUUAAUAAUAAUCAUUACUUACAUAUAUAUAUAUAUAUAUUAACUAGAAUAUCUCAUAUAUUUCUUUCAUUAUGCCGCCUCAACUUUAGAAAAAGGCAUAAUUGCCUAUUUGGUCCUUUUAACUUUUCUUUAAUCUAUAAUUAAACUUUUAUCCCUAUUGCAAUUUAAUCCUUUUUCAUAAUUAACUAUCGAAACAUUAAAAUUUCUUAACGAAACUUUAAU